Molecule: long non-coding RNA, 276 nt
Filed under: Carica papaya (papaya)
Lineage: Eukaryota; Viridiplantae; Streptophyta; Magnoliopsida; Brassicales; Caricaceae
Description: long non-coding RNA (CPAP_LNC006753)
Source: RNAcentral
ACCACAUUAUACAAUUAUCAAUUUACAUAACCUUUUAUUCCCCUUUUUCCUCAGUCAGCAUCAUCAAAUCACACACAAACAAGCAAACCAGUAAUUUAUGCCAAACAAGACAACAUACAACAUCGGGUUCUCAGUCAUUCAACCCAUAAUCAAUAAAACAGUGAUAUAUGCAUACGAAACUAUAAAAUGAAAACAUCAGACCUCAUACUGCAUUUAAAACUGUAAAAUAGAACAAACAGCAACUGAUCGACAAAUACACUAGACUCGGGCUCCAUU